AUGCAUUCAAAGAGUGCGUAACAGCUCACUGGUCGAGUGGACAUGCGCCGACAAUACACGGGGCUAAGCUGGACACCGAAGCGGCGGGAUUUUAUCUAUAUAGAAUCGGUAGGGGAGCUUCCCAUGGGCGGUGAAGCCGCCGGGCGACCGGCGGUGGAGCGCAUGGGAGUGAGAAUGCUGGCAUGAGUAGCGAGAGACGAGAGAGUAACUCGUCCGCCGUGAACCCGAGGUUUCCUGGGCAAGGCUAAUCCUCCCAGGGUCAGUCGGGGGCUAAGGCGAGGCCGGAAGGCGUAGCCGACGCGCAGCAGGCAGACAUUCCUGCACCGCGCACGCGGCGCUACGACCGACGGGGCGACGGAUGGGGGUGGCUCGGCGGGGUUCUGGACGUCCCCGUGAUGGAGCGCGGCCCGCGGACCAGGGAAAUCCGGUCCGCACGAGGGCGAGGCUCCGGACGAAGCGAUCAAGCGAAGCGAGUGAGCCCGAGGUCCCUAGAAAAACCCCUAGGCAGGCGCGUGCGCGCCCGUACCGCAAACCGACACAGGUGGGUGGGUAGAACAUACCGAGGCGAUCGGGUCAACCAUGGUCAAGGAACUCGGCACAAUGGCCCCGUAACUUCGGGAGAAGGGGUGCCCGCGCGUACGUGAACGGACUUGCUCCGGGAGCGGAGGCGGGCCGCAGUGGAGAGGCCCAAGCGACUGUUUACCAAAAACACAGGACUCUGCAGAAGCCGCAAGGCGACGUAUAGGGUCUGACGCCUGCCCGGUGCCGGAAGGUCACGCGGAGGAGUUAGCCGCAAGGCGAAGCCCCGAAGCCAAGCCCCGGUAAACGGCGGCCGUAACUAUAACGGUCCUAAGGUAGCGAAAUUCCUUGUCGGGUAAGUUCCGACCUGCACGAAAGGCGCAACGACUUGGGCGCUGUCUCGACCAUGGACCCGGUGAAAUUGCACUGGUCGUGAAGAUGCGACUUACCCGCGGAAGGACGGAAAGACCCCGUGAACCUUCACUGCAGCUUGGCAUUGGCCGCUGGUCCCGCGUGUAGAGGAUAGGCAGGAGGCACAGAUCCGGAGGCGCCAGCCCCCGGGGAGCCGCCCUUGGAAUACUGCCCUCGCGCGACCGGCGUCCUAACCCGAGGCCGUCAACCGGCUCGGGGACCGUGCCAGGCGGGCAGUUUGACUGGGGCGGUCGCCUCCUAAAGGGUAACGGAGGCGCGCGAAGGUCCGCUCGGGACGGUCGGCAACCGUCCUUUUGAAUGCAAGAGUACAAGCGGGCUUGACUGCGAGGCCCACAAGCCGAGCAGGUGCGAAAGCAGGCUCUAGUGAUCCGGCGGCCCCGAGUGGGUGGGCCGUCGCUCAACGGAUAAAAGGUACUCCGGGGAUAACAGGCUGAUCUUGCCCAAGAGUCCACAUCGACGGCAAGGUUUGGCACCUCGAUGUCGGCUCAUCGCAUCCUGGGGCUGGAGCAGGUCCCAAGGGUACGGCUGUUCGCCGUUUAAAGCGGUACGCGAGCUGGGUUCAGAACGUCGUGAGACAGUUCGGUCCCUAUCCUCCGUGGGCGCAGGAGAAUCGAUGGAGGCUGCCCCCAGUACGAGAGGACCGGGGUGGACGCACCUCCGGUGAACCGGUUGUCGACCAACGGCACGGCCGGGUAGCCGCGUGCGGCGCGGAUAACCGCUGAAGGCAUCUAAGCGGGAAGCCGUUCCAGGGAUUAGUUCUCCUUCCGGUAAGGGCCCAGGUAGACUACCUGGUCGAUAGACGGCAGGUGCAAGGGCGGCGACGCCCUCAGCCGAGCCGCACUAAUCGCCCGAGCUCUUCCGGA
This 1814-nucleotide ribosomal RNA is filed under the name human gut metagenome. RNAcentral describes it as "bacterial LSU rRNA". It matches the Rfam family "Bacterial large subunit ribosomal RNA", at positions 1118 to 2925 of the family's 2925-position model. The record is from RNAcentral.